AAACCCUUACCGAAAGCAAUUGGAGGGCAAGUCUGGUGCCAGCAGCCGCGGUAAUUCCAGCUCCAAUAGCGUAUAUUAAAGUUGUUGCAGUUAAAAAGCUCGUAGUUGAAGUUCUGGCUGAUUGACCCUCGAGCUUCGUAGCCGAGGGCUCGUCAGUCAUCCGCUUGCAAAUAUAUGUUCGCCUUUAACCGGGCGGCUAUAUGAGUAAGCAAUUUACCUUGAGAAAAACAGAGUGUUCCAGGCAGGUUUGUCCGGAAUGCAUUAGCAUGGAAUAAUAGAAUAUGACUGAAGUCGAUUUAUUGGUUUGAGGCUUUAGUAAUGAUUAAUAGGAACAGUCGGGGGCAUUGGUACUUGACAGUCAGAGGUGAAAUUCUAGGAUUUGUCAAAGACUAACAAAUGCGAAAGCAUUUGCCAAGGAUGUUUUCAUUAAUCAAGAACGAAAGUUAGGGGAUCAAAGACGAUCAGAUACCGUCCUAGUCUUAACUAUAGACUAUACCGACUCGGAUUCAGAUGAAUCAUAAAGUUCAUUUGGGACCGUAGGAGAAAUCAAAGUUUUUGGGUUCUGGGGGAAGUAUGGUCGCGAGGCUGAAACUUAAAGGAAUUGACGGUUUUGCACCACCAUGGAGUGGAGUCUGCGGCUUAAUUUGACCCAACACUGGGAAACUCAUCAGGGCAAGAAGAUUGUAGGAUUGACAGAUUGAGAGUUCUUUCUUGAUUGGUCUAGUGGUGGUGCAUGGCCGUUCUUAGUUGGUGGAGUGAUUUGUCUGGUUAAUUCCGUUAACGAACGAGACCUUAACCUGCUAACUAGUACACCGAUGACAAAUCGGCGAUACUUCUUAGAGGGACUAUGUGAUGUAAUCACAUGGAAGUUUGAGGCAAUAACAGGUCUGUGAUGCCCUUAGAUGUCCUGAGCUGCACGCGUACUACAAUGGUGCUUUCAACGAGCCUUUCCUGAUCCGAAAGGAUUUGGGUAAUCUUUUAGUGAGCACCGUGCUUGGGAUUGAUCUUUGUAAUUAUGGAUCAUGAACUAGGAAUUCCUAGUAAGCACGUGUCAUCAGCACGUGCUGAUUGCGUCCCUGCAAAAUGUACACACCGCCCGUCGCUAUUACCGAUUGGGUGUAUAGGUGAACCUUCUCGAUAGCCGCAAGGCUAGAAAUUAAGUAAACCUUUGCACCUAGAGGAAAUAAAAGUCGUAACAAGGUUUCCGUAGGUGAACCUGCGGAAG
RNAcentral lists this ribosomal RNA (1225 nucleotides) under metagenome. Its description in RNAcentral is "SSU rRNA". It matches the Rfam family "Eukaryotic small subunit ribosomal RNA", at positions 528 to 1823 of the family's 1831-position model. The record is from RNAcentral.